GGUAAGGUGGCAGAGUUGGUUUAAUGCACUAGAUUGCUAAUCUAGCGUACAUGUUAAGUCGUGUACCGUGGGGUCGUAGCCCACCCUUACCG
Molecule: transfer RNA, 92 nt
Filed under: Caudoviricetes sp.
Lineage: Duplodnaviria; Heunggongvirae; Uroviricota; Caudoviricetes
Description: tRNA-Ser
Rfam family: tRNA
About the family: Transfer RNA (tRNA) molecules are approximately 80 nucleotides in length.
Source: RNAcentral